AUGCAUACCAGUAGACCUUUUCUAGCUCUCCUAAUGGCCAGACAGGGGGGAUGGUAAAUGCAAGAGAAAAUCCGGAGUUGCUACCAGAUGCGAUCAGUCUCUCAUGUGACUGAUUGAACUGCCUUGCUCCAACAUGC
Molecule: small nucleolar RNA, 137 nt
Filed under: Pelusios castaneus (West African mud turtle)
Lineage: Eukaryota; Metazoa; Chordata; Testudines; Pelomedusidae
Description: Small nucleolar RNA SNORA58 (ENSPCEG00000004274.1)
Rfam family: Small nucleolar RNA SNORA58
About the family: ACA52 is a member of the H/ACA class of snoRNA that guide the sites of modification of uridines to pseudouridines.
Source: Rfam by way of RNAcentral